This 37261-nucleotide long non-coding RNA is filed under the name Triticum aestivum (bread wheat). Its description in RNAcentral is "long non-coding RNA (TAES_LNC020124)". The stretch from base 26529 to 26663 matches the Rfam family "MIR1120/MIR1122 microRNA precursor family". The record is from RNAcentral. Lineage: Eukaryota; Viridiplantae; Streptophyta; Magnoliopsida; Poales; Poaceae.
UUAUUUUGACCUCAAAUUGCAUAUAAAUCAAAUACUACCACAUAUAAUUCCUCCCAAAACAAAACCCACAAAUCACUAUACUUAUAGAGCAUUGCAAGAGCUAAUCUAGCAAUGAGAGAUGAAAGGACAAAGUUGCUAACCUUUGUAAUCACUUGGAUGGACGGGGUGCCUUCAAAUCUUCACAAAUUUUGGCAAAAAUGGAGUGUGAGCUAUAGAGGAAGAGGAAGAAAACAAAGGAAAGGAAAGGGAAAGAACAGAGCGCUCGGGCUCGACGAAGGGUUUUAUAUAGGAUGACCUUUAGUACCGGUUGGUUAGACGAACCGAGACUAAAGGUGCAUCUCUAAUCCUGGUUCGUGGCAUGAACCGGUACUAAAGGUGCUGGUGGAGCCCCAGCCUAAUGGCAGCCUGCCACCACCUCUUUAGUAUCGGUUUGUGUCACGAACCAGUACUAAAGGUUCGCCAUUAACCGGUACUAAUGAGCGUCGCCCGUCUAGCCAUUGGAACCGGCACUAAUGGUCACAUUAGUGCUGGUUCAAUUACAAACCGGGACUAAUGAGCUUCACAUUAGGCCCUUUUUCUACUAGUGUAGGGCAAAAAAGGGUCGCCCUACAUCCACACCCAAUUGUGUGCCGAGGGUGGACUUGCAACUAGGAAAAAUAGCCAGGGAUGUUGCAUAUUAAGCGUGGACUUGCAGCUGGCAAAAAAGAGACAAACUCGAUUACAUGUCAGGGGUGGAUUUGCAACUUGGGCAAAAAGGGUUAGGACCCUUCAGUUGCCCGUCCAAAAUGGACUAGCAGCUGGGACAAGAAAAAGGGUCAAGCCUAGUUGUGUAUCAAGGGUGCAUUUAUAAUUGGACAAAAAAUGAAUCAUGCCCAGUUGCAUACGAAAAGGUGGAAUUGCAACCGAGGAAAAACAAAGAGGAGUGCCUAGUUGCAUGUCAGGGAUGGACUUGCAAUUAGGACAAAAAAGGGUUGGGCCCCUCAGUUGCGCGUUGAGCGUGAACUUGCAACUGGGACAAAAAAAAUAGGUUAGACCAAGUUGCUAUCAAAGAUAGACUUGUAAUUGAGAAAACAAAAUAGGUAAUGCCCUGUUGCGUAUCAAGGAUGGACAUGCAACUCAGGAAAAAAUAGAGGCGGGCCUAGUUGCAUGUCAGGUUUGGACUUGGAAAUAGGAAAAAAAAGGGUCUGACCCCUCAAUUGCAUGUUGAGGGUGGACUUGCAACUGUGACAGAAAAUUGGCUGGGUCUAGUUGCGUAUAAGGGUGGACUGCAACUAGGACAAAAAUGACAAGACCAGUUACAUAUUAAAAGGUAGAUUUGCAACUGAGAAAAAAGAGGCAUCCCAAUUAAACCUCAAGGGUGGACAUGCAAUUAUAACAAAAUGCACCCCCGCCCCAAAUAAAAAAAUAAAAAGGUAUAAAAGAGAAAACGAAAAACAUGAAUUUACAACCAAUAAAUUAAAAAUUAAAAAAAUCAAUGAAAAAUGAAAACAAAAACCAAAGGAAAAAGAACAGAGGCUAAAGAAGGCAAUCAACCAGCUCCUUCUUUUAUGAGUGGAGCUGGCCACAACAAGCACAAAUGUUCAGUCGCAUGACUUGGUGGAGUUGCGAUUCUGACAAAAAAUGGGUAGGGCUCAGUUGCGUAUCGAGGGUGGACUUAUAACUGGGAAGAAAAAAAGGCAUCCCUCCAGUUGCAUGUCGGGUGGGGUUGCAACUGGGACAUCUCUCCGCAAGUUAUGUGUCGAGAGUGGACUUGCAACUAGAACAAAAAUGGAGUUCAGAACUAGUUGUGUAUCGAAGGUGAACUUUCAACCAGGACAAAAACAUGGUAACCCCCCAGUUGCAUGUCGAGGGUGGACUUGCAACUGGGACAAAAAAAUCAGCUCACCAUAGCUGCUUGUCGAAGGUGGACUUGCAAAUGUGAGAAAAAUGGGCUGGGCCUAAUUGCGUAUCGAAGAUAGACAUACAACUAGGAUAAACAAAUUACAUGUUAGGGAUGGAUUUGCAUCUAGGAAAAAAAGGUGGGACCAAGUUGGGUGACGAGGAUAGAUUUGCAACCGUGACAAAAAAAGUCAAGCUCCCAUGUUGUAUGUCGGGGUGGUGUUGUAACUAGGGACAAAAAUGGGUGCUCCCGGUCAACUGUCGGGAGUGAACUUGCAAUUCGGAUAAAAAAAUAGGCAGGGUCCAGUUGUGUAUCGAGGGUGAACUUGCAACCAGUACAGAAAAAAAGGAGCCCCCAAGUUGCAUGUCAGGGGUGGAGUUGCAACUGGCAUCUUCGACAUCAAGUUUGGAAGAAAUAGAAAUAGGCAACGACAAGCGAUAUAGACUGUCUCUUCCACUUGAACAACGCAGACCAGAUAAAAUGUGUCACAAGAGCGCCAGAAAAAAGGCCGACAAAAAGCAGGCUGACAAAGUGGACAGACAUCUUGGAAAAAUUGAUUGUACUGUUGAUAAUUUAGAUGUGACAUUGAUAAUUCCCAUCUAGAUGACAUAGCUAAUUCUCAUGUAGAUGGUAGAUUCAAAAAAAAAUCAUGAAAUCUAAAAAAUCAUAGACUCUGAAAAGGUUUCAUAAAUAAAAAAAUCAUGAAUUCAAAAAAGUGCUUGCGCACCUCAAAUAGUUUUCAUAUACUAAAAGUAUCAUGAAUUGAAAAAUUAGAAAAGGAAAGGAGAAGAACAACAAAAAAGGAAAAAGAAAAAAGAAGAAGAAGUCAAUACAAAAUUCUCCCUGAAAAAAUAGAGAAAAAAUGAUAGUCAAAAUGUUUAAGACAAAAAGAAAACAAAAUACAAACAGCUUGUCAGUGCCUUGAAAAAACGCAAAACGCUCAAAACAAAAACGAAAGAAAUGGUUUGACUCUCGGCAUCUCCACUACCACUCAAAACCGUUUAAAUAAGAAAGAAAAAGAGCCUGAUACGCAGCCCGUUAGACCACGGAAGCCCAAAUGACCCAUACUAAACGAGCAGCGAGCUGUUCGCUUCUGCUUAUCGACAAAAAAAUGCAACAAAGCAUACGAGGGGACAAUGCACGAAGCUAAAAAAAAUGUACGAACCUGCAAAAAAAUAGAUGUGAAAUAGUUAUUUUUUUCAAUAUUUAUAUCUCAUUGCAACGCAGGGGCAGUCCUAUUUAUUGAAAAAGAAACAUGUUGGCGCUAUCUUCAGGGCUUGUUUAGGCUAUUCACUUGGCAGGUUUAUAUGCAUGUUGGUGUGUCUAGGUCUUAGUCGACUUAAACUUAACCAAGUCUCAGUCAAGUGAUAUAAUAUAUAAAAAAAAGUAAAAACUGAAAAGAAAUUUUUGUACGAUUCUUCAUGCAAGAUCAAUGUAAUAUAAUAUCCAUUCAGACAUAACGAAGUUUAAGUCAAAUGAAACUUAGCAAAACUGAUGUUAUAAUCACCAAAUCCAAACGGAAAAUCCAACCGAAUCGAAUAGCUAGGGUAGGAGCAGUGACACCGCGUUGAGCAGCCGGCCACCACUAAUAAAAAUUAAAAAGAUCAGAGCAACCAAACUGAUCCAUAUGUCACCCGCCCUGCUAUUUCACAUUUGAAUAUUGAAGAGGAAGAUGCAGACAAUUUCAUGGCCUGCUUCCGACCCAUAUGUCAGCAGCUUCUUGCAAGUGGAUGCUGCAGACCCAACCAUCAUUUCAUUUUUAACCCGACCCUGUCAACCCGUCUGCUUGGAUUUAUCCUGCGCUUCUACCUGGGGACAGUUCGGACCAAGACUCGUUCCCCACCCCAGCCAUGGGUUCUGGAGCUUAAUUGCAGCCGUUCCCGCCAAGAAUCAAGCAGAGUGACAGAAGAAAAUCCGUUGCCGCUUGUGAUCGACCCGACGACCACCAUGGAGGCCAUGCACGCUCGCCUCGCCCUCGCCUUCCUCCUGUUCGUCGCGCUUGCGGCGGCACAGCAGGUGCCGGCGCCGGCGCCUGCCGACGUGGGUUGCAACGGCGUCUUCCUCACCUACGCCCCCGAGGCCCACCAAAGGAUCAGGCCGUUCGUGGACCCCGCCGCCGCCGCGGCCGGCAGGCAGCCCUACUCCUUCCGCGCCAGCGCCACCGUCCUCAACAACGGCGUCCGCACGCUCCCCUCGUGGUCGCUGCUGGUCGCCUUCGCGCACGGCGAGAUUCUUGUCAGUCUCGACGGCGGCGUGCUCACCUUCGGGGACGACCUGCCGUACAACACCACGGCGGCCGGUGGCGGCGCGACGUCCUUGUCUGGGAACCCGCAGACGGACCUCCUAACGCCGAUCGCCACCGCCGGCGACCUGACCAGGAUACAGGCGACGGUGAGGCUGGUCGGCACGCUGUUCGCCGGGCCAGAGCCGGUCGUGACGCUCCCGUCCGCGAUCUCGCUGGCCGACCCCGCGUACACCUGCUCGCCUGUCGCCACCGCGCCAACGGUCCUCUCCGCGUGCUGCGUGCUGAUUGCGCCGGACCAGCCCUCGGCCGUGCCGCCGGCGGCCGGGAACACCUACCUCCCGCGCGUCACCGGCGACCUCGUCAUCACCUACGACGUGCUCCAGGCGCACGAGACCACGUACCUGGCGCUGGUGACGCUCGAGAACAACGCGCCGAUGGGCCGCCUCGACGGCUGGGAGCUGUCGUGGGAGUGGCGGCGCGGCGAGUUCGUCAACUCCAUGAGAGGCGCGUACCCGCGGGAGGUGGACGCCAGAGGCUGCCUCUACGGCCCGCAGGGGCAGUACUACAAGGACCUCGACUUCUCCAAGGUGCUCAACUGCGAGCGCCGGCCGGUGGUGCACGACCUGCCGCCGUCCCGCCGCGACGACACGUCCCUCGGUCAGAUCGAGCACUGCUGCAGGAACGGCACCAUCCUGCCCAAGACCAUGGACGAGGCGCAGUCCAAGUCGGCGUUCCAGAUGGAGGUGUACAAGAUGCCGCCGGACCUGAACCGGACGGCCAGGCCGCACGCCCCGGCCAACUUCAGGAUCUCCGGCGCGUCGCCGCUCAACCAGGCGUACGCGUGCGGGCAGCCAGCGCUGGUGAGCCCCACGGAGUUCCCGGACCCGAGCGGGCUCGUCUCCACGACGCUCGCCGUCGCGACGUGGCAGGCGGUCUGCAACAUGACCGUCGACGACGCCAAACCGUCCAAGCCGCCGCAGUGCUGCGUGUCCUUCUCCGCGUUCUUCAACGAGUCGGUGAUCCCCUGCAGCACCUGCGCGUGCGGCUUCCCCACCCCGGCGCCUACGACCUGCAGCACGACGGCGCCGGCGCUGCUCCUGCCGCCGCACGCGCUGCUCAUGCCGUUCGAGUGGCGGGCCAAGGAGACGCUCAAGUGGUAUCACGACGAGGAGCUGGGCGCGCCGCCGAACCCGAUGCCGUGCGGCGACAACUGCGGGGUGAGCGUGAACUGGCACGUGGCCACGGACGCGGCCGGCGGGUGGAGCGCGCGGGUGACGCUCUUCAACUGGGAGGAGGGCGCGGACAUGCGCGACUGGUUCGCCACCGUCGUCAUGGGCGACAAGGUGUACGGCGGGUUCGAGCAGGCCUACUCCUUCAACGCCACCGCCGUCGGGGACGGCGCCAUCUUCAUGCGCGGCAGGGAAGGCUUCGAGCUCCUGCUGAGGGAGAGCAACGUGAGCGGCGUGGACUACCCCGUGCCCGGGAAGCAGCAGUCCGUGCUCUCCUUCACCAAAAAGAAUGGCCCCGGCGACGUCGACGUGGUUGGCGGCGACGGGUUCCCGACCAAGAUCUUCUUCAACGGCGAGGAGUGCGCCAUGCCACAGAUGAUUCCGAGCCAGGGGGUUGGCACUCGCGCUAGCCGUGGUGGUGCACUCGUGCUCUUGCUACUCUUCCUCUUCUUCUUCUUCUAGAAUUUUGGGGCCUGCAUUUGACCUGAUUACAAUUGAAUUUUGAAGCAAAAAAUAAUCCGAUGUCUAUACAAUGAUCGAUGUUGCUUAUUUACAUCUAGUCUUUUAAAAGAAACCAAUAUCACCUCCAGCCUACUUGUGCAGAAACAGGAUUAAUUGUACACCAGUCUGCACAGCUGAAGAAAGAUAGACCUCCAAACUCCAGCAUCUAUUGCCGAAGCUGCAGAACCGGAAGAGAAAGUUUCUGCAGUUCCAUCGUUGCGGAGAAUGCAGCUAGCUGAACACACCUUUGACAUGAACAUUGCGCCUAUGAAUUAAGCGGGUCAUCUCCGAAUUGGACAUCGGGACUACACCCUGAUUGAAGUUAUAAAUAAUGGCGAUAGAUCAAAUGGACCAUGCCAUUUUUGUAUGAUUGUGCAAACUUAGCUCAAGAUCUAGUGAGGGCAACCCUUUAUUUUCUGGUCUUGGAGAGACGAUUAUGAAAAAAAUGAUCUCGUGUUAUUGGCGGGUAGCAUGGCAUAUUGACCCACCUAAUAACAGUUUAACUCUUUUCACCCUAAAAAAGAGUUUAACUCUUUUCAUUGCCCAAAAUACUUUGACAUCCCCGCAAAAAAAAAACAAUGACAUGCAAAUUAUCAAACAAUUAAUACUGGUCAUUAAUUCGUUUCUAAUUUUUCAAAUACCACAAGGGGAUGUAGCUCAGAUUGUAGGGCGCUCGCUUAGAGCAUCUCCAACAGCCGCUCAAUGCGUGGCGCCCAAAAAACGGGGUUACAACGCGCAAGUAGUUUUUUUAGGGCACUAGAAGACGUUUGCUCCAACAAGCGCUGUAAAAUAUGCUACGCGCGCGGGUCCAGCGGCCCCAAUCAAGCGGUCCCAUCUGCAGCAGGCCAGAGUUUACAGCUCGCGCGAUCAGGUGCACUAAAUAUGCUGCGCGCGAUGCCUUUUUGAUGCGCGUGCUGCAUUAGUUAUAUAGGCGCACGUUUUUUGUGUGGCCGCUGGAGACUCUAAACCAGGUCCCCGCGCGCUAAAAGCAGUUUUUAUACCACGCGUCGCUUAUAUAGCGCUUCUGUUGGAGAUGCUCUUAGCAUGCAAGAGGUAUGGAGAUCCAUACCCCACUUCUCCAUUAUAUUUUUGUAAUUAAAAACCUUGACUUUACUUUUGCAAACUCCAAAUCUCACAAACAUGCCCGCAACGCUUUUAUUUAGCCAUAAAAGAUACUCCCUUUGUAGUGCAAUAAUAAUCACAGGCCUAGACCAAUAUGUUACCAUCAUUUUCCUCAGAAAACAAUGUUACAACAACCAGGUAUGGGGAUCGAUACCCCACUUCUCCAUUAUAUUUUUGUAAUUUUUAGCAGAUCUGAAAAUACUGUAAAAAAACCUUGAUUUUACUUUUGCAAACUCCAAAACUCACAAUCAUGCCCACAACGCUUUUAUUUAGCCAUAAAAGAUACUCCCUUUGUAGUGCAACAAUAAUCACAGGCCUAGACCAAUAUGUUACCAUCAUUUUCCUCAGAAAACAAUGUUACCAUCAUGAUUUUAUUACCGUCCUCUUUGUAGAAAAAUGAUGAAAAUGAUACUCGGAGAUAGUCACAACAUUACAGAAAGAAAGAAAAACGCAUCUAUAUGUUCUGUCCUACACCCAACCAAAUGUAUUCAGUCAAUCAGUCUCGUCAGUGCACCAACCAGGUCAUUUGGAUUACAGGAUCCAAGUUGGAGAAGAUGGGUGCUCAGAUAUGCUCAAAGGAUAACUUUAUAGUCAAGAAAUUCAUAAAAAGCUUGCGGAGAUAACAUCGAGAAGUAAGAUGUCAGCGGGUCAUGAGCAACAAGCACAUCCCUUGGCAGAGAUGAGGAUGUUUAUUUGCAGAAGAGUGCAGCCUGUGAAAUCUAUGGGGGUUGCUUGCUUGCUAGUAGGCCUUUCUUUCCCCCCGCACAAAAAAGUAGGCAUUUGAUUUCCCUGGCGAGGAGUGCGCCACACCAUAAAGAAUUCGGAGUUAGGGACGGGCAUUUGGGUCACAUGAUCUUCAUUAUCAUUGAUAAAUUCAUGGACUGUAAUUGUUUCAGAUGCAUCUAAGGAACAAUGUAGUCAGUGGUGAAAUUUUCCCAUUUUUAUUCUCCUCGGAGAAAAGAUUUCUUUGUGAUGUAUCAUUUCUCUCAAUGCAGAGCCUCUUUAUUUUACUGGUUAAUAUAACCACCCUAAAGUAUCACAAAACAUAUCUAUUACUAUCAUAUUGCUUUGAGGGAAUCUCUAUUAUUAUCAUAAAUAAAGAAAAAAUAUAUGUUAUUCCUUGGACAGAGGGAUAAAGUUGUAGUACUACCUUCGACAUUUGUUAUUGAUUGAUAUGGUAAAAUCAAAUCCACUGACAUCAUCGGUCCAAUUACUUUAUAGCACCCUUUUUCCUUCAAUUAUGUAUAAUUUAUUUCCUUCUUCUAGAAUUUGGGGCCCGCAUUUGACCUGAUUACAUUUGAAUUUUGGAGCAAUUUUUCCUCUUCUUUUAUUGAAGAAAGGGGUUCCUCUGGUUCCACCCAAUUUUUUUCUUUAUCGAAUGAUAUCCUGUGUAGACUGUGUUAUAUAUAUCACAGAGAGAAAAAACUCAUUAAGUACAAACCGUAGAAACUUAGCCACACAGCCGUCAGAAAAAAUAUGUUGAACUGUUUCAGUGUCACUACAGAAUAAGCAUGAACCAUCGUUCAUUGUCCUACGCUAGCCAAAUUAUCUCCAUUAGGGGACCAGAGUAAAAGCAUCCCUGAAGGGCCGUAUGAGCUGCUGCUACUGCCUGAUCUUCCUCUCUCAGCUGGAGAUACACAUUGCUUAUCAUGUGUCAGAAAGGUUGUCACAGACGAUGAGGGUCUCAAUCUCACCAAACUUGAUAAGUUCCUCGAAGAUAUCCACAUAAAAAUCUUCAGAAUGCUCUCUUGCAUCUUGCGGGGAUCUAUAGGCUGGCCUUGAGCACCAACCCCGGGGCCGGGGGUAAUCAUUUCAGGGCGCUGAUGUGAUACAUGUUCAUGCUUGACUUGUUAUAGAUGCGGGAGCAGCGAUCGCCAUGACGACAAGCUCCGAUCUUGAAGUAAAAUGGACAUGGGCAGUUGACCCUGUCUUUCUCUGUACCAAAUUUGUGAUGUUGCAAGAGCUGCUAGUUGAUGCAGGAACAACAGAAGGGCAGCCUGUAUGUGCCAGAUUCUAACCCAUGUAAUCUCACCAAAGAAAAUGCCUUGCGCACAACUAGCCUUAAACAGGUGCUAUUCUAUUUGACAGACUCUGUGUUUCAGAUGUUUUUCCAAGUGGUUGAAGCUCUAAUAGCAGGCCCAACUUUUAUCUCACCAAAGAAAAUACCAUGAAUUAUUUCUGUAUACUUUUUUUCUUCUGGUAGUUCGUAAGACACUGAAGACAAUAAUAUAUAAAAUGAAGGAGAGAAAUGAGAAAUAUCGUUACUGCUGCUUAUUUUGUUCUACUGGCUUCGCCUCUUUCGAUCUUCUUAGAGCAUCUCCAACAGGCAUCCAAAAAGAGCUCCGCGCACUAAAAGUUUAGUUUUUUGGGCGCCGGGCAGCUCCAGCAGAAGCUGUAGCGCUAAAAGUUUUUGGGCGCGCGCGGAAAAACGCUAUCGCGCGCAGCAUAUUUUGGGCACCGGAUUGCGCGCGCUUCACAAUUUGCACUGUCUUCUUUUUGAGCACGCGUUUUUUGGCGCCUGCUAAAGCAAAGUUGGUACCGGCGUAUUAAAAGUACUACAGUGGCGCGCUAUAACGUUUAUUGGGCGCAGAAUUUUUGUGCGGCCGUUGGAGAUGCUCUUAUGCACUUUUUUUGACCUCUUCUAUUGCUCACAUGCAUGCUUGCUUUCCGUUUGAACGAAAGGUGUCCAUUGCUCUGGAAUAAGAGUAAAGGGAUGCGCUAGUAAGUGAAAAAAAGAUGGCUAACUUGAUUGUAUCGUGCCUUUAAAUAGUAUCAUGUUGGUCUGUUCAACAAUUGUUGAUAUUGUAGAACUUGUCAACUUGAUACACACUCCUGCACAUAGCAACAACAUUACUAAAGAUGUUAAAACUCAAAACACAGGCGGAGAAUAGAAAAAUAUAAUUUUUCUUAAAGAUCAGGCAGUGGCGGAGACAAGGGGGGGCGAGCAGGAGCCUGGCCCCCCCUAAUGAUCGAGCGAUGCUACCUAAUUAGCGAUACGAACGCACGUAUUCCUCAGGAUUAUACAUACUCGGCUCCCCCUAUCUGGACGCUAAUUUUAGAGAAAGGGAAUAGGCCCAUGUGAAGCCCACUAGCGGCCAGGUUAGGCGAUUGGCUUUGUUCUCCUGGCCCGGGCGUUGCAUUCUCGUGUGAUUAACCUAUACGUGGAUUAGUAUGUGAUAUCAGUCGCCGACGUUGCGUGCCCUCGCAUGCCCGGCCGCCUCUGCUCGCUCUCCCCGCCCUGCUGCUGCCGAUCCUAUUUAUACGUCGACGGCGCGACGCAACCUUCUUCACUUGUCAAAUCUUCCGGAUCCAACCAGCGGGAAGUAGGCAAGAACCCAAGGUUUAACACAUCAGUAAAUCAUACCAUGCAUCUACUAAUCUCAAUCCUCAUCAUGUAUCAUUGUUGAACUUAUACGUCAGAUUUUUAUCGUUUAAUUGUUUUGGUUGUAUGAUUUGUCAUGCUGUGAUUCUGUGAAGAAUUCCUAUCUUGUACGUGUCCUAAAAAUUAUAGUGAUCGUGAUUCAAAUUAUCUUGUAUGAAUUCUUAUUUCUGUUGCAAAGUUUUCUUAUGUCCAACUUGUCCAAUAUAGCUAAUUGCAGAUUGCAAUUCGGCAGCAAUGAAGAGAAAAGCGCCACCAAACAUUGUUAAGAUUGAUUCAUUUUUUAAGCCGAUUGCUUCAAGUUCUCAACCUACUAAAAUUGUUAAUGUGACUGAUGCGCAAGUUACUAACCCCGGUACAAUUGACACUCACGAUCAGGAUAUGCCUGACCUGGUAAAUAUUGCAGAACAAGCAAAACCAUGCAAAUUGGGAGCUGCCACUAGACAAGCAAGAUAACGACAUUUUUAUAUAUCCGAGGGACUAUAUCAGGUGGGAAGUGGCCCGGACACUCUAAAUAUCAAUAUAUCUUUUAAGAACCAAACGGGAGACUUACUUCGGCAUUGCAUGAUCAUAUCCGCGCCAUCGAAACAAAUUAGCAGGUAAGUUCUCUUCCAGUGAAAUUAUUAAUUUUUUAUCAUCUUAUUGGCAAUUGUAGAGGUAAUUUAAACUCAUACAACCCAUGUUUUGUAGUGUGUAGCACAUACUACGGUAUGAUGAUAUUUUUUUUUAUUUUUUGGUCUAGAAAGGAAGUUAUGAACUUGACUUGCCCCCCCCCCCCCAUACCAAAAUCCUGGCUCCGCCCCUGAGAUCAGGGGCAUUCCAUGUUAAAUUUUUGCUCCCGAUUAUCAACCUGAUAGAACUGAAUAUUGUAUUGCAAACAAAAUAGGCACUAGGGGCAUCUCCAGGGACCUGUCCGUGGAUACGGAUGUGGAAGCCGGCCAUUCAAUACUACCCACAUACAUUUCAAACCGCAAUCCAACUAAUCAGACAAAAUUCAUUAAACACAACAGAAUUUAUCAAAGUUCGGAUAGAAAGUAGCACAAAUCAUCCAUACAUAGGACACAAAAUAAGUCAAUUACAAUAAUAGUUCAAAUUCAAUGGGAUUAACCGGAUGUUGAACAAGUUUUUCAUGAACAGAUCAUGUCGUCCCACAUGUACUGCUCCUUCAACUUCAUCCAACAGUGUAUGUGCGUAAAUGGCCGACCCUCUAUCCUGUAGUACAUCACGGCAGCGCGUACGGGCCACACAAUGUUAGAGCAACGUUGAGUGAAUGAAUGAUUCAAUCAACAAGUUGAGCAAGAAGAAGCAAAACUUACGAUCUCCUCCGCUGCUGCGCGCAAUGGCCACCUUGCCUCCAUCCGAUCAACCGCGUCACAAAACUUGGCAACGAUGGUCUGGAUGGUGUACCAUCGAUACGAUAACGACUUCACAUUGCGUUCAUAGAUAAUGUGCAUGUCGUAGGGCGCAAUAUGCUUUCGCGCGUGAAACGAAUCAUGCACGCGCUACCAGAAGAGCCCUCUUCCGCUCCUGUCUACGAAGUCCGCAGAUACGCCAACCACGCAUCGCACAACAACUCAUCCUCCAUUGUUGAGUACCCCAACAUCCUUCUUACUGUAAAAAACGACAUGAAGGCAAGAUGCAGACAAAUUUAAGUUUGAUAAAUACUCUCUCCGUCCCAAAAUAAGUGACUCAACUUUGUACUAUGGAGUGUUAUCUUUGGGCUUGCGUCUUUCCUUGUUUUGAAAACAAAUUAACACAAUACAUCCUGAAUAACAUUGAACAUCGUUUAUAACCAUGCAAGUCCAAGAAGCCAAAUGCACUAAGGUCAGAGAUUCACAAACAAACCAGUAUCCCCAGUGUUCUUUAUAUAGUGCUUUUGUGCAGGUAUCGCCUGAGGAUCAGUUCCAAAAUGUGUGAAGCAACAUGUGUGAGAAACUGAUGAGUUCUACAACCGCUUGAAAAUUGGUUUUACAGUCUCAUUCUACAACAUGUUUGGGAAAGAAUUCAGGUGUAGUACUUAAAUCUUUUAAGUAAUAAAGCACCCUUUUUUGAAAAAAUGUUUGGGAAAGAAUAUUUUAUUGUCAUGAAGUUAUGGAGCUGUGUUUCCCGCGAAAUCCAGUUACAGCCUCAUUCUUCUGCACCCAUAUUCCAAAUUUCCAAGUGCAACUCACAGCUCAAACCUAUCCAGUGAACACAAGGCAAAAACUUGUACAAAGAUUAAACCCAAGGUAACUCAGCAAAUUCAGUGCAUAAACUAGAAUUUCAAAAAAGAAUCCAUCACUUCACAAGGUUUAGAUAUCGGUCCACAUUUCACCGCGACCAUUUUGUUGGCCCAAACCAUCUUUGUAUGCCAAAAUAAAAGCAAUCAUUACAAGUAAAGUUCAAGUUUAGCUAGCAGAAGCAUAAGAGCUAAUGAUUUUUGCACUAGCAAGUUGUCAUGUUUGAACUGGAGACACUUCCGAAGAACAUAAGCUGCAAGGCGACGGGCGGUAGCCUUUUCUCCACUCUGCAUUGACAUCAAGUGGUGCAACUCCAUGUACAGUACAUGACAAAGAUUUUUCUGUAGUAAAGAAUAGAUAUUGGUCAAAAUGCAGGACAAAGUUUUUUCUGCAGUAAAAGAUACAUGACAAAGUUUCUUCUGCAGUCAACAAGUACUACAAUUCAGAUUCAUGCCGCGUCAUAAUUUCAGAUAACCAAGCAACACAUGAACCAACUAUCAAUUGUAAAAUAGGCCAUACGCUCUUGGCAUGGUCAAGAAUAGAAAAAUUAAAACAAAGCAAAGAAUGCAUGAUUAUCUCUCAAGAACAUAUGAGUUGGGCUUUGGCAGUAUUCAAAUUCCAUGUGUUGAACUACUGCUACAGGCUGACGAGUAUAAGAACACCAAAACUCCAGUCAAUAAUGGCACAAAAAUAAAUAAUAAAUAAAUAUAAGAUGGAUGUAAUGCAGAACAAGAAAAUACAAGUACAACUAUGGUGGUGCUCGAACCACGCAACAAUCAGGCAAUCUAUUUGAAAUUUGUGAUUGAUGAAUAUACAAACUACCAUCUGAAAAAGAAGACUCGGUAAUCAACUUGGUAAUUACUAAAUUCAGUUCUGUAAAUAGAGUUAGGACGAUGCUGAGUGAAACUAAUGAAACAUUGGAUUUCGAAACAACAUUAUUUUGCAGUUAAAUUAGUACGAAUAACAAUCUUACCGUCUACAAAUGAACUUCAGAAUGAGUGUGAGCAGCAUCCAAAAUAAUACUUUGACCACAAAAAUCAACAGAUGAGCAUCAAGAAAGAAGCUUCUUGGGGCACAUCCAACAUAACAAAACCAUGGAGAAGAUUCAAAAUGAGUAUGAGCAGCAUUCGAAUAAUAUCUUUGCCUAAUAGUUUAUUAACUAUGAUUUGAUUAGAUGGCAGCUGCUGAACCAGUCAAGGGUUACUCCAAUCAUCUCUGAAAUAAGUACACACUAACACCAACACUGCUUGUGUAUUGCUGCCAUUGUAUGCAAUGAAUUAAUGGUCUUGACUAGUACAGUAAUCGGCUACUAGAAGUAGAAAAAAAUGAACACAACAGCAUCCAAAAGAUAGAAGAAAUAAGAAAUAUGUAAAUGGAUACAACUUGCAGCAUCGAAAUCUAGAGCAUUCCAAUUCAGAACCAAGGAAAUUAGGACCUACAGGCCAUAAAAGCCACAAUGGUAAGAUCAUUGCUAGAUAGAAACUAGAAAUAGAACACCAUCAUUUACAUAAAAUGCAGCUUGCCGCUCGAACAAAACAAUCAGCACAGACAGAUCAAUUUUGUAACAUUUUAUCUGGAUAUUCACUAAACAUGUUCUGGCAGUUCAGCUCAAGGUUGACUGGACUAGUAGAAUUCAGGUAAUCAGAAAAUAGACUGAUAAGUUCUAAACAUUGUACCAUACUAUGCAGUGCAAGUUCAUUGGAGUAUACCUUAGGACAGUAUAUAGUGUAGAUUUACCUUCUGGAGGCAUCCAACUUUGUACAUGGCUUUUUGAAAAUCCGAGGCAAUUCUUCUGAAGUACUGACCAACGAUGCAACUAAACAGCUCAACUGAAAUUGCUGCGUGUCGCUUGCAAUUUCUAAGCGGGUGAAGAAAUCCCGUCACAUUGUCUUUGUACACGGUUUUCUUCCCUGUUUUAUCUUCGUAGUAAAAAGUUUGUUUAAGAUACGAGUUCCUCAGAAAGUUGGGCUUUAUCUGCCAUCCAUUAUACUGUGAUAAUGCAAGGAUUACUGAAUUAUAUGCUUCAGGAUCAUCCUUUUCUAAAUCAAGUAAUCUAUCAUAUAGUCAUUUAUAUGUCCUCCUAAGAAGUCAUCAAGCAAGCCAAUGUGGCACGAUAGUAGCUCUGGUGGUUCUUCAUUCGACAAAGCCAAAAUCCACUCAAAAAUAGCAUCGGGAAUUGACUUUCCAAGGAGCACUUCGUUUUUUAUCAUUCUCACAAAAGACUCCUUGUCCAGAUCCACGUCAUCAUUGCUUUUGAUUUCCUUUAAUUUUUCUGCUGUUAGAUUACCAAUCUUAACAGAUUUGGAUCUGUCAACUACAAAAUUGACAGCGCCAAAGUCUCCUCUCAUCAUGAUUCCAUCAACAUGCAUCGCUGCCAUGGCUAAAUAUGAUUUUCUGAAAUAUAAUUUAACUUCGGUGGCAGCCAAAAUGGACACGUUCUUGUUAUCACUUCCUGGUGUUGGGAAGAACUGGGUCACAUGGUCUUCAUUAUUCUUAAUAAAAUCUUUGACAGUAAAUGUUUCAGACGUAUCCAAUGGACAAUGCAGCCAGUGGUGAAAUUUUCCAUUUUUAUUCUCCUCGGAGAAAAGAUUGCGCUGCGAUGUACUAUUUGUCUCCACACAGAGCCUCCUUCUUUUACUAGUUGAUAUUAGUGCCAUAAAGUAUCACAAAACAUCUCUAUUACUAUCAUAUUGUUUUGAGGGAAUCUUUAUUUACUAUCAUCUAUAUCUAUAUUUAUAUCUAUAUCUAUACCAAUAUAAAAGACCCAAAAGGGCAGAUCCAACUGAUCUCGGCCAUCAAACUAAGUCAAUCCAAUGACCUAGACUGCUCCAAUGGUGAGUGUUCAACGUGUUUAACAUGCAAUUAAUAUCAUACCAAAUAUUGCACUAAUCACAGAAUUAACACACAAAUAAUAUCAUACCUAAUAUCCGUGUGUAAUUAAAAUAUUGCCUAAAUAUCAACGUGUGUUGCACAUGCGCAUUUACUAGUAGAUACAGAAAAACACAAUGUAAUUCGUUAAACAGAAGGAUAGAGUAGCACCUUUUCAAAUUUGCUACUAUUUGGUGUGGUAAAAUCAGAGCCACUGAAAUUAUUGCACCCAUUGAUCCAAUAGCUGCAAACCAUGUGUUUUCCUUCAAAUGUCCACAAUCUAGUUAAUCCUUCACCUAUAUCAUCUUGUUGCAUACUUAGUAUAAGUCUAAAAAAAGAUAAGAGUUUAACAUUAAGAGUUAACAAAUUUAGAUUGUUACAGUGUUAAGAUAUGAGUUGUCAGUUCGUACUAGAUUGAUGGUACAACUGCUCCGCCCAAAUUGAAGAUGUUUCUUUCAUAGUAAGUGCGCUGCAUAAAUAGAAAUAAUGUCCAUCAACACAUUAUUAGCACCAAAGGAUGCAAUCAUAUGAUUUUAGUUGCAAAACUGAAAUAAUAGGAGAAAGUUUGAAUAACAUAAACUCUCUAAAAUUUAUAUAGAUUAAGUAACAAGAACAAUUUGCUGAGCGGUUUGCACAAAGAAUCUGAACAUGCAAACCUCAAUAUCUGGCAUAUAUAUGUACCCAAUGAGACAAGUAGAAAAGCACAUUCACAGAUCAAAUUAAACUAAAAAUCAAAGAUGACAAGGUUACAUUUUGCCGUUCUUAAAUUUUUUUUAGAACAAAUACUCAAGACGAGAAUUACAAGAUACAUGGAUGCUGAAAGCAAAGUCACAACACAACACACAUGAGCAAUCUACAGCUCCGGUACACAGAUUGAACAUAAGAGAUAAACUAGGGUUUGAGAGGAGAUGGUGUUGUUGAAGAUGUUGAUGGAGAUUGCCCUCCCCAAAAUGAGAGAGUUGUUGCUGAUGAUGAUGACAAUGAUUUCCCCUUCCGGGAUGGAAGUUCCCCCAGCGGAAUCGCUCCGCCGGAGGGCAAAAGUACUCCUGCCCAAGUUCUGCCUCGAGACGGCGGCGCUCCGUCCUGAAAGUCCUCCCUCUAUUUUUUCUAGGUCAAAAUGACUUAUAUACCAAUAGAUGGGUACCGGAGGUGCGCUCGGCUAGCACAGCCCACUAGGGCAUGCCUGGGCGUCCAGGCGUGCCCUGGUGUCUUGUGCUCACUAGGUGGACCCCCUCCGGUGGUUAUUUGCUCCAGUAUUUCUUAUCUUUUGCCUACUAAUAAACCAGCGAGUGCGCCUGGUCGUACGUCAUCGGCAUUUUCGCCAAAAAGUCCUUGUGGUUUUGUGUAUUAAACCCGCAGUCCUAUUUUUAGUGGCUACCGGAGAAAACGUUUCGUUUUUACAAAAAGGUCCCUGCAUUCUGGUGUAUUCAACCCGCGAUCCUGGCUCUGAGAAAACGUUGCAAAAAACAUGCAUAACGAGCGACUGGGGGCGGCGGCUGCUCGAUGCGGAAUGACGCUGGUGGCUGGGGGGCAGCGACUAUUCGAUGCGGAACGACGUCGGCGGCUGGCGCUUGCAGGGACCGAAUCCGUGCGCGGUAGAUCCUGGGGAGGCCGAUUCGGAGGCGGGCGGUGUCACACCCGCACGGGAAUUGGGGUGGUCCGAACAGAGUAAUCUCAGAUCUCGUGCGAGAGGAAAGGGGAAAGUAGGAACAAGAACUAGUGCUUGUAUUGAUAUAAGAUGUAUGUUUGUAUCAUAGAGAUAUUCUCAGCAUAAUUCCCUAGCGAUUACAGAAGGCAGCGGCUAGCUUUAUAGCUGCAGCUGGCAAAUGGAUGAAACAGAACAGUAAUAGCAAAUGAAACGGUACAGUGAACGGUAACGGUUGGUGGAGUAGGCGAGCCCUGUGAGCCGUACGAUGCGCCGAACCGUUUUGCACCAGAGCCGUCCUAUAACUGAAGAUAAUAAGCUGCUCCUUGACACUUGGGCCUGACAAUACCCCCGGGCGAAAACGAGCUUGUCCUCAAGGAGUUGUUCGGUUGAACCACCUGUCGAUGGUGCUCUUGAAGAAUGUAGGGAACGUUUUCUUCAUGAAUGAUGCGUCUUCCCACGAAGCUUCAUCAGGAGGAAGGUUUGCCCACUGUACAAGCCACUGAACCACAGGCAGGUUGUUGCGGGGUACCUGAUGGGUUUCCAGAACGAGAACUGGUUCGGUCUGAAUCAUCCCAUCUGAUCGAACCAGGGGAAGGUCUACACACGGAACAACUUUAGGGACGACAUGUUUCUUCAACUGGCUAAUAUGGAAGACUGGGUGUAUGUUGGUAGUGUCAGGCAAGAGCAGUUUGUACGCGACGCGACCCACUUUCUUGAUGAUCCGGAAAGGUCCAUAGUAUUUGCUCUGAAGUUUAAUAUGUGUACGCAGACCAAAAGCAUUGAGGCGGUACGGUUGCAUUUUCAAGUACACCAUGUCCCCAACUUCCAGAAUCCUCUCUGUACGUUUGCGAUCAGCGUAUUUCUUCAUUCGCGCCUGAGCUGCUGCCAAGUUGGAUUUUAAGUGCAGUAGCAGAGCAUCUCUGUCCUGAAAGAACUGUUGUGCAUUGCCGUUCAGCUGGUCAGGGAGAAUGUUUUCUCCAAUGUUAGGAGGAGGGAAUCCAUAGGCUGCUUCAAACGGUGUCUUCUUGAGGGAGGAGUGGUAGGAAGUGUUGUACCAGUACUCUACCAUGGAGAGUUGAUUUGCCCAUUUUUUUGGUUGUGUGGAUGUCAAGCAACGCAAGUAGUUCUCGAUGCACUGGUUAACUUGUUCUCUCUGACCAUCAGACUCCGCAUGGUAAGCAGUGCUGUAGCGGAGGUCACAGCCCAUGCCCUUGAAUAUAUCUUGCCACAAUCUGCUCAUGAAGAUAGCGUCUCUGUCAGACACAAUUGCCAAGGGAGGGCCAUGUAGCUUGAUGACAUUGUCGAUGAACGCUUGAGCUACAGUUUGUACUGUAUAAGAGUGGGAUAGAGGAAUGAAGUGGGCAAAUUUAGAUAACCUGUCGACCACCACAAAUAUGACAUCUUUCCCAUUUGAUUUUGGUAGCCCUUCGAUGAAGUCCAUGCUCAAGUGUGUCCAAACCAUGUCAGGUAAUUGUAAUGGAUCCAAGUAACCAGGGUAUGGGCAGUUCUCACCUUUAUUCUUCUGACAGACAGGACACUCAGAAACAAAAUGAUCCACUUCCUGUUUCAGACCAGGCCAGUAGAAGAUCUGUUUGAUCCGUUGGUAUGUGGCUUUCAUGCCUGAGUGACCCCCCAAAGAAGAUGCAUGUAAUGCAGUUAGGAGCUUCUUUCUCAAGUCCACAUCCUUUCCCACAUAUAUUCUGCCCUUGUGUCUGAUGAUGCCAGAGUGUAAGGAGUUUUGGUCCACAUCAUGGUUAGGAGAGAGGAGCAAUUUUUCAAGCAGGGAUUUGCAAGCAGCAUCAUUGCAGUAAGAACUUUCCACUGCAGAGAUCCACUGUGGAGUUGCCAGGGAAAUUGCCAUUACAGAGUGUUUUCUGGAAAGUGCAUCAGCAGCAAUAUUUUCUUUUCCUUUCUUAUACUGCAAUGUGAAAUUCAGUUCCAACAACUUCAACAUUAACUUGUGUUGGAUGCUUGUAGAGAUCUUUUGGUCAGUCAUAAAUUGCAGACUCUAAUGGUCUGUUCUAAUUAUCAGGUCAUUGCCCAAAAAAUAGUGUCUCCACCUCUUCAAGGCUGCAAUGAUAGCAAGGGCUUCUUUCUCAUAAGUUGAAAGAGCAGCAUUUCUUGAGCAUAAACUUGAGCUGUAAUAAGCUAAGGAUCUUCCACUUUGCAUCAUGACUGCUCCAAUACCUGCUCCUGAUGCAUCUGUUUCCAAAACAAAUGGCUCAGAAAAGUUGGGCAAGGCCAAUACAGGAGUUGUAAUCAUAGCUUGUUUAAGAGCUUGGAAAGCUUGUGUUUGGACUGUGGUCCAUUGAAAGUUGUCUUUCUUGAGAAUAUCAUGCAAUGGCCUGGCUAUAAUUCCAAAGUUCUGCACAAACCUUCUAUAGUAACCACAUAAUCCUGGGAAACCUCUUAGUUGAGUGGGAGUAGUGGGUACUGGCCAUUCAGCUACAACAACUACUUUGCUAGGGUCUGUGGAAACUCCUUCACCAUUAAUUACAUGCCCAAGAUAUUCCACCUGCUGGACAGCAAAGACACAUUUGAAAAGUUUUGCAAAGAGCUGGUGUUCUUGGAGCAACUGAAGGACAAUCUUCAAAUGAGCUAUGUGUUCAGACAUGGAUUUACUGAAGAUGAGGAUAUCAUCAAAGAAGACAAGCACAAACUUCCUGAGAUAAGGUCCAAAGAUGCUGUUCAUAAGUGCUUGGAAUGUGCCAGGUGCAUUUGCUAGACCAAAGGGCAUAACAAGGAACUCAUAAUAUCCAAAAUAGGUCCUGAAAGCAGUUUUUGGUAUGUCAUUUUCAUCCAUUCUCACUUGAUGAUAACCAAAUCUGAGGUCUAAUUUGGUGAAGUAAGUUUCUCCAUGAAGCUCAUCCAGUAAAUCUUCAAUUACUGGGAUUGGAAACUUGUUUUUGAUGGUAGCUGAGUUAAGUUUUCUGUAGUCAAUACAUAAUCUCCAUGUUCCAUCCUUUUUCAUGACCAAUAUUGCUGGUGAGGAAUAGGGGCUCUCACUAGCUCUAAUGGUCUUUUCUCUGAGCAUGGCAUCAACCUGCCUUUCCAGUUCAUUCCUCUGCAUGUGUGGUACUCUGUAUGGUCUAGAAUUGGGUGGGAGAGAUUGUUCUUUGAGAGGUAUUUUAUGGUCAUGGGCUCUCUUUGGGGGCAAUCCUUUUGGCUCCUGAAAAACUGUAAGGAAUUGUUGCAGUACCUCCUCAACAAGUCGUGGUAUUUCCUGUGUAGGUGGUAUUUUCAUAGUUGUGUCCCUGAUGAGAUUCAGAACCAAUCCAGGAGCUCCAGCAGUCAUGAGUUUAUUAACUUCGACAACAUCAAUGAGAGUGGCAUCAGAUAACAUGUCACAAGCUUUAAUUGUGACUGGUGUCUGUUUAUCCUUCAUGACAAUGAUUUGCCUGGGAUUAUAGUGAAAUGCUACAGGGCUGUGGGUUUCCAUCCAAUCGCUACCAAGUACUAUAUCGUGUCCAGGCAGAUUAAGUACUCUAAACUGCUGUUGGAAUUGUGUAUGGCCAGUUGUGAAUGUGGUUGUUGGUACAUAAGAUCCUGACCACAAAGUGCCUCCUCCUGCUACUGUUACUGCCCUUGUUGCAUCCUUGAGGAUGGUGCAGGAAGUUUGCAGUGCAAACUGAAGACUGAUGAACGUGGAAUUACUGCCAGAGUCCACUAGAGCAAUGCCCUGUUUGCCUCCAAUAUUGACCAAUAUGGAUAUUGUGUUACUGUUGUCAGAACGCAUGGCUUGAGCAGAGAUGGUCAUGCAUUGUUCUUCAGUUUGUGGUUGUUCAGAAUUUUCCUGUUCAUCCAGUUCCUGCUGUUCUUGUGUUUGUUCAUUAGGGUCCUCGCCUGUUAACACAUUCAGAACUGGUGCUAACUUGCACUUGUGACCAUGGAACCAAGUAUCUCCGCAAUGCCAGCACUUGCCCGGCUCCCGAGCUCUUUGACUUACAGUAGUUGGCUUAGGAUCAGGAGGUUUUUCAGGUUUGUGAUAACUAGCAGAGUUUUUAGCAAUGUUAUAACCCGCAGUGUAAGAUUUCUUUUCAGAAGCUCCCUUUUCCAGGUCAACAGCUAACCAAUAGGCCUCAGUGAGUGAAGUUGGUUUAAGUGGGCGCAGCUGAUACUUGAGAUGGGCUCGGAGGCCAUUGACAUAACAGCGGACAAACCACUUUUUGUCCAUAAUAGGAUUUUCCGCUUGCACUUCUGCCAUCAACUCCUCGAACUGAUCAGUGUAAUCAGAAACUGAUAGUGUAUUUUAUUUCAAGGUGUUGAAUUUCUCUGUCAGUUUGUAAGAAUUGGCCGAAGAGAAUCUGCGGAGCACUUCUUCACAGAACUGGCUCCAACUCAAUUGUUUCUUGAGAAUACCCGAACGACGCAACCAAACGUCAGCCUUUCCCACUACAUAUAACUGUGCUAAACUGACUUUAUAUUCAGCCGAUGCACCUGCCAUUUGGAAAUACUUAUCGCACUGACGGAUCCAUCCUGCUGUGUUGUCGCCAUCAAAACGAGGGAAAUCCAUUCUGGGGCCCUUGGUGAUGCUUUUAAGGAAUUGUGUUCGCAUUUCCUGCUCAUAUUGUUUCUGAAAUUCUUCCCAGCCCUGACGAACAGCUGGAGGUUGAAAAUUGUGGAACCCUGGGGUACAUGCUGUCUUGUACGCAGCUGUUGGUGUAGCGUUGCCCGAGUGAAUAUCCACCGCAUUGCUAGCUCCAAAACCUGGAGGAACAGAAGGUCUGGGAACCUGGAUUGGGGCUAAGUGAGGAGGGACUUGUGAGGCCAACUGUUUGGUUUUCUCUUGUUCCAUAGCUAGUCGCUUCCGCAGUUCGUCAGUGAGUGUUUUGUCUGCUUCCCCCACUGCUUCUCUGCUCUCUGGUGGAACAGUUGCUUGCUCAGGGAUUACUGACCCUUGUGGUGCAGAAGUGGAUGCCUCAGGUGUACUAAGGGUCUUCAGCACAUCAGCCAUGGCCGCGAGUUGUAAUUUGAGAGACGAUACUGCUUUCUGAACUCCGCUCAUAACUGAAACCAUCGUGUCCUACUUGGUGUUGAUUGAGUGCACCUCCUUGCGCAGAUCCUCCAUCUCGCCUCGCAGCUCUGCCGUUUCUUCACGCUGUUGCGCAAAAUCGUCCUUCAUGGCCAGCAGAUCAGACACCUCCGCUUCAUCAAAACUUGGCUUGGAUUUCCCCAUCGUAGUGGAGUGGUCAGAGAGGAAUUUUACCACAGGAUCUGGCCGGGAACCCGAACUGAGCACUCAACCCUGCCGCCGCCGUCGAGAUUGGCCACCGGAGCAGCACCACUCGCCGCUAGACCUGGGAUUUUACUGCGAGAGCGAUGUGCUCCCCCAACCAGUCGCGCUCAAUGAGCUGCCGCCGAAUGAGUCUACCGCCGCCUGCGCCGCCAAUUCCGUCUCCCCCUCGCACUCGUCGCCGCUGCCGAAAGAGGGAGGGAAGGGAGGGAAAUCACCGUAGCCGCUCCAAUCUGUCACGCCGCCGAGGAAAACCUACGCUCAUGAUACCAAUUGUCACACCCCGCAUGGGAAUUGGGGUGGUUCGAACUUAGUAAUCUCAGAUCUCGUGCGAGAGGAAAGGGGAAAGUAGGAACAAGAACUAGUACUUGUAUUGAUAUAAGAUGUAUGUUUGUAUCAUAGAGAUAUUCUCAGCAUAAUUCCCUAGCGAUAACAGAAGGCAGCGGCUAGCUUUAUAGCUGCAGCUGGCAAAUGGAUGAGACAGAACAGUAAUGGCAAAUGAAAUGGUACAGUGAACGGUAACGGUUGAUGGAGUAGGCGAGCCCUAUGAGCCGUACGAUGCGCCGAACCGUUUUGCACCAGAGCCGUCCGAUAACUGAAGAUAAUAAGCUGCUCCUUGACACUUGGGCCUCACAGGCGGCGAGGCAGGGGUCGCCGGUGACGAUGAGGAAGGUCGGAGCAUGGUUUCCCUGGCAGAUCCAUGGCAUCCGCGGCUCCUGGGCAGAAAGAAGAAUGGAGAUGAGGGAGAGAAGAAGGAGAAAGGAGGGGAGGUGCGGUGUCCUAGGCAGGAGCUCGCAGGAGCCGUGCGACGGAGGACGGGCGCCGGAGACGGAGGGAUUCAGAGCCGGCCGGUCGGGCGACACCAACCAGGCCAGGGGUGGUGUACGACUCUACAUCACCAUCAGGUAAUCCUUUCAUCCCCACGAUCUGGUCCUCAAUCGCCAUGUUCUUGAACUGCAGAAAUCACUCAUUCCCCAUGUACUUGAGUUGCAGAAAUCAUUGGUUAACCAAGUUUUCUAAUACAUUACUGUCAAAUUGCAUGGGCCUAUCAAAUUUUGUAAUAUAUAGAUGAUGUUAUGCUGUCAAAUUCCAUCCAUCUACAUAUUCCAUGUGCAAAGUAAAGAAAUUCAGAUGUUGCAGGUUGCAAACAAGCAAAACCAUGACCUGUCAUCUGCAGAAUUAACCUACAUGUAAAUAAGAUUUCUUUUCCAACCAUCUUUCAAAGAUAAAAUCUUACAGCGAAUGGAUCAGUUUUAACUAAUACAAGUACACACAACAUUCAGCUCGACAGUUGGUCAUCUCCCUCCCAUUUUUUCUUUUCUGUUUCCAGUUCAAUCAAGUCAGGACAUCACAUCUCUACAAGGCCAUUUUUUCCUCACAUUCAUAGCAAGCUUGCAAGUUCCUUCUAUUAACAACAGUACCUAGCACAUACACAAGUUUGUUGGCCGCCGGAGUUGCUGCACUCGUGGUCGUCGGAGUCUACCACCACGCUCAUGCUCCACAUGCAUGUGGUCUUCCAGUCAGUGCGACGCCCAUGUGGCUGUCCUGUAGCAGAGCCACCUUGACCAACCGUGGGAGCCAGAAUCUUGGUGUGGGGCUGACGGCCAUGCUGCCUGUGGUUAUCUUGGUAUCGCUGACUGUCAGGACGCCUAUUUCUGCUUCCUUCUGGAUGAACAAGGGAGAUGGAUGUGUCAGUAGAAUUUGAUCUGAAUUGAUUGAUCGGCUUGUUUUGAUGGCUUUUUGCGACAUGUUUGUUAUGUUUCAGAAUCUUUUUGAAACCGAAAUUUGAAAAGAGCAUGAGUUUUGAUAGGAUUUUAUAUAUUCUUCGGUUGCUUACUGUAAUCUUUUUUAAACUGAAAUUUGAAAAGAGCAUGAGUUUUGAUAGGAUUUUAUAUAUUCUUCGGUUGCUUACUGUGACCUGUACCUUCUGGUAGAUUGAUAUAGAUAGAAUCAUACUGAUUUCCUAUAAUUUCCCCAUCACAAAGAUGUUCUAUUUGUUUGGUUUGAUUUAUUGUGAUGACCAUCAGAAAUCACUUAUAUAUGCUAUUCAUACUGUUAAAUUUAGUUCUAGCGACCCUGAGGAAGUAGUGUGUUGUACGCCUGACACAUGAUUGAGAAUUAACUUGCUUGAAGAUAUGGUUCAGCUCAAACCUCUUUUCCAAAUGUCAAUGGGCUGUUGUUUUUGGAAAUUUUGAUCAACACUCCGAAAAAAAUGUAUGAUGUGCCUUUUUUACUUUGGAGUAUCAGUAUGCAAACUCCAGAAUUGGAGUAUUAGCAUGAAAACUCCAUAAUGUUUAUGUGGUCCUGAUACACACAUCAUGAAGUUGGUAACUGUUGUGGUAUUUAUAUUCAGAUUUGACAGGAAUAAAAACUGAACCUAUUAAAUAGUUAUGUUAAGCUAGAUGGGUUUACUCAUAUUCCAUCGCUAGACGAACUAGCCGCAAGAAGCACGGUUAAAAUUCAGCUCCAUUUGAUUUACAUUCAGAUCAUCUUGCUGCAACACCACUACUUUUCUUGAUAGCAAACAACCAGUUUCAGUAAUCAUAUAUUGCUUUUCUGAUUUGUUUAUUCUAUUAUACCAUAGAUAUCGUAAGAGAGAGUUAAUCACUUAAUGAGAGUGUUUUGUUCAGUCAAUUGAGUGCCUGCUGGUCUGAUUAGUUUAUGUAUGUCAUGGUUCCUUUUAAUAGCUAUAAGUUGCAAUUCCCAGACAAGGCAUAUGUUCUAUUGUUUCUCAGGUUUGUACAUUCCAAGCCUGCCUUAGGACAACCCUUGUGAUAGUAGGGUGGGUGCUUAUUGAACCCACAAUCCGUGAGCUGGAUGUCAAAAUUAGAGAAGGUAUGCAUGUUAUUAAGCAUGCUAUCUAUCGAUGUGACCUUUUCAGAUGUCGAUUGAUAUUUCAUACUACAGGAUGAGUACUAAUAUGAUCUGCACGCACAGCUGAAAAUGAUACACAUGACAGGAAGAGAAAGUGUGAAGCACUCUACCCAAUUUUCCGCAUUUCAAGAAGCCAUUACAUUUAUGAUCUUUUCUAUAGAAGAAGGAAGGAUAUAUCAAAUGAGCUGUAUGUGUUUUGCCUGGACCAGGGUUAUGCAGACCGUAAUCUGAUUGUAAAGUGGAAAAGGUCAGUUGCCUCAACUUUAUAUCAUUUAAGCUAGGGACCAAGAUGGAUGAGGUUGAUUUGGCUUGAUCAUGCCAAAGAAAUUUACCUCCUUUUUGGAAACUGAAAGCAUGUUUCGGAAGUUCAGGGUUAAAUUUCCAAAUCUGAGCUUUAUAGCAAGUCAAAGAGGAUCAAGAGAAGCAGAGUAGGAUAAUAAAGGUUCAUAUAGAUGUAGUAAUCUGUCACUAUCAGCUAGCUCAAGUAUGUAUGACUGUACGAUAAUACAGGUUCACAUAUAUGUAGUAAUCUGUCACUAUCACUUAGCUCUAAUUGAAAUUUUCUUGGAGCAGUUUCAUUUGCAAAUAGACCAGCUACACGGGCACACGCAUACACACACACACACCCUAAUUGAGAUAUCAUAUUACUUACAUGAUGUGGGUUAUUCAGGUUAUUAUGAUAAAUUAUUUGACUGAUCAUUGUAAGCUGUCAAAUCCAGUGGGUAAACAGAUGGCUAGGCUGCCUUUAGAUCCAAUGUACUCCAAGGCAUUGAUAGUGUCUACCGAAUUCAAGUGCUUGGAAGGAAUGUUGAUUGAUGUUAGUAGCUACAGUUAUCUGCAAUGUGCCGACGUACAGGAGCAAUAAGAAGGAUCUCAUGACUUAUCGGUUACCGAGCAGAACCACAUAUAGCCGUGCCUCCUUUGCUGCAUCAAGAUCAGGAACCUCCAGAUUCAUUGCUUCUUGGUCUUUAUUUUGUUGGUGCAUAAAUUGUAGUGCAGUGAAUAACACGGAAUGGAUCAGAGUGGCUUGAGAUUUUUUUAAUAUAGGUGAAUAACAGAAUUUUUUCUUAUCACAUAGCAUUCUGUUUUGCUAUUUCAAAUGUGCUUGCCAAUGUGCUCUUUAUCGAACAAUCUUUUGGCCUUCGAAGUUUCGAACAACUGUUUGUCACAAUUUUUUAGAUCGGUUGUAGAUUUUAUUGACCCUCUCCCAUAAACUCGGAAUUGAGUGAUUCUUUUUACUUUGGAAAGCUUAAGUCAAUAAGCAUCUUGAGAAAAUAUAAAAAAAUUGGUAAAAAAAUUCAGAGGAUAAGUUGAAGAGAGAAGUUUCAUUAAUUGUACUCCCUCCGUCCGAAAAUACUUGUCAUCAAAAUGGAUAAAAAGAGAUGUAUCUAGAACUAAAAUACAUCUAGAUACAUCCCCUUUUAUCCAUUUUGAUGACACGUAUUUCCGGACAGAGGGAGUACAUGUUUUGGAGCUUAUAUUUUUAUCGAGAGCUACGUUUGUUGGUACUCUUGUGCAAUUAAGAUCGUGCUGUUGGAACCAUGUGUACAUUUAAUCAAGGCAUUGGGGUCCACAGAUCUUGUUACGACACGAAAAUAUUUGAUGAUUAUCAUUGCAGACGCCCUCAAUCUCAGGAACACUCUUACUAUGUCUUUGAUUCUGUUAAAGACCCAUGUAGGUAUGCCCAACCUGCCAUUUGUUUAUGCUGGCGACUUCAUCAAAGUGCUAUGGCAAAAGCAUGUUUCCAAAAGCUAUUCCAAGAUGGUAUCUAUCCUCUCUUUUUUCUUUUCCAUUAAUUUUUUUAUUAAGCUGAAAUGGUAUGUUUCGAGUCUUAUAACUAGAAUUGGAAUUUUGGCAGAUCAUAUAUGUUGAAGCAUGUGAAAGUGGCAGUAUCUUUGAGGGAUUAAUGCCACAAGAUCUUAAUAUUUAUGUUACAACAGCAGCAAAUGCGGAAGAAAGUAGCUGGGGAGCAUACUGCCCUAGGAUGGAAACACCACCUCCUGAGUAUAUGACCUGCUUGCUGCUUGGAUGACGCAUACAAUGUUUCUAGGAUGGAAGACAGGUAAAAAGCAUCAGCUGUAAUAUUUAUGCUCUGUAUGUUGUCUUGCUAUUCUGAACCAUGGGAUCCUACUGUGCAGUGAAACUCACAAUCUACAGAAGGAAACCAUCAAGCAGCAGCACGAAGUGGUUAAAGCAAGAACGGCACCCCCAAAUGACUCCAAUAUCGGUUCUCAUGUCGAGGAGUAUGGUGACAAGACAUUCAAGGAUGGCAAGCUUUUCCUUUAUCAAGGUUUAUAUCCUGCGAAGUCAAGCAUCACAAACAGGCCGCUGCUUUCGCCCAGCCUCAAGGGUGCAAUCAAUCAAAGAAAUGUUGAUAUUCUUUUCAUGUGGAAGAAGGUAAAAUCCCCGUUAUAUAUUUCUUGUGUAGCUCAUCUUCUCUGUUACUACUAAUUUUCAUGUGUUUUGAUUUGCCAAAUUUGUCUGCUAACAAUGUAUCUUCUCGCUUUCAGUAUGAGCAGUUAAAUGUUGGAUCAGAGGAGAAGCAGAGGGCUCUCAGGGAGGUCAAAGAAACUGUGUUACACAUGAAGCAUCUCGACAGCAGUAUCGAUUUCAUCGGGAAGCUUGUCUUUGGAUUUGAGGGGCCUUCGGUGCUUGAGGCUACUAAAGGCCCUGGCCAGCCAUUAGUAGACUAUUGGGAUUGUCUAAAGACGAUGGUGAGUGUAACAAUUCCUUGUUUACAAUCCCAUAAAUAUGCAACACCCUGCAGUACUCUUUAUGUUUCCGGUUGAGCUUAAGUUUACUGUGUACUGAUGCCAAUCACUGCUGUUAGGUGCGAGUUUUCGAGUCCCAGUGCGGAUCACUCACUCAGUAUGGCACGAAACACAUGAGGGCGUUCACAAACAUCUGCAACAAUGGCGUCUCCGAGACCGAGAUGAAGGAGGCCAGCAUCAGCGCUUGCGACAGCUACAACAUCGGUAAGUGGAGCCCGCUGGUUCUAGGGCACAGCGCCUGGUCGGCUGCACUACAGUAGUACAUGCAUGGGAGCAGUACCAAAUGCUCCAGAGGUUCGUAGCUAGACCUCAUAUAUGGUGUGUGUGUACAUAUAUACAUUGUUUUAAACAUGCAAGAAACAAGCCGACGAUGCGCCCCAUGUGGUGUCGGGUCAAUCAGUAGUUUAUGAUCGUGCUCGUGAUUUGACUGUAGUCAGUUGAAAGGCAAUGAUCGUUGUGCAUGCUAUGCAUAUGAUUCGUAUUUGUGGAUUUUGACAUCAAUAGUUUAUUCAGAAGAAAUAUUGUAAUCUCGUACAAAAGAGUCGACUAAGUUUUCUUUAAAAAAAAUUUGUCAAACGUGAAGGAUCAUACAGGCAUAUGCUUGACUAAAUUGAUAUAUUUAUAAAAAAAUUGAAUUAGAUGCACUAAUUAGAAAAUAUGCAUUUAAAUUAAAUCAUCGCCUUUCGCCUCUACUUUGAGCUAGCUAUUUUUUUAAAUGAGUUCAGCUACUAAUUUUAAAGACCCCUAAAAAAUCUACUAAAUCUCAGUCGACUGAGAUCUAACGGAGUCUCAGGCACCUUUUCAAGCCGUUGGAUACAUGCACACUAAGAUUAUGUGCUAGGAAACUUUCCUUUUUUAUUCUGAUCUGGAACGGAAAGAGAUGCGUGUGCGAUUCUGGACUCUACAAAGUAUGCGUGCUUUUUUAGAGAAAGAGCCUACAAUCAACACGAGAAGCUUGUGUUUGGGCCAAGUCCAAGAAGUGCAAAAUGAAAUAAACAUAAUGUAAUAUUGCAAACCAAACAAUCAACAUUUUCUAAAAAGAAAACCAACAUAGCAAAAACAUGUUUGCUUUUGAAUAUUAACAAAUAACUGUAUAUAAACAAUCUCAUUUCAAUGCACGCUGAUUGAAGCAACAUCGAAGGGCACGAAUGUGGGUUCAUCAAGUUUUUCUAAACUGUGAACACCAAAAAUCAUAUCAUCAUUGAGGAUGGUGGCAAACAUGAAAAGUGGCAACAUGAAUGAGACACCAAAAUCAUGCGAUGAUUUUCUCCUUCCGAUGGGACACACGACACAUUAAAUUGCUGCAUACAAAAGUUAGAUGGAACCUUCUUUUGAAAAACGCAGUAAAAACACAGACUCACAAACACAUACAUACACUAACCCCUAGAGAGACUGACUGGACGGGGUUUGAGAUUGAUGAACACACCACAAGCGUCUUGCUAUCGACACGAACAUCGCCAUCCAUAGAAAUAAUAUUUCGCCUUCAUGAGACAUGAAAGCGUCAAAGGUAGAUUUUAGUUCCUAUUGGUAUUGGGGUACCACCGCCCUCCAAACCAUCCAAUCCAACUAGAGGUUGGUUGUCAUGGUUAAAGAGAAACUGACCAAUAUAUCGGCAUGCACCUCCCUACCCCCGCCAUGCUAUGAUGAUGGGCGUUUUGUUGGACAUAUCAAUCUUCCCUCCUUUUGCAACGCAUGUGCAUAUUUGAACUCUUCCAAAUCAAACAAACAAUUAUCUCUAAAAAUCCAACAUAGUAAAAAUCCGUUUGAAUUUAAAUCUUUUCAAAAUUCUAAAAAAAUUGAAUUAGUUAAUAAACUCUCAAUUAGUAUAGAACAUUCUAACGUUUGUAUGACCCACUAAAAAUAAAUACACCACUCUUCCACCCAGUGAUAGUGCUAAGCCGAAAGAGGCGCCAUCAAAGGACACCAUUACGACUUCUUUAAGAGUAAGUACAAUAGGAUGAUGUAGACAGGUUAUAAGGGUUUAAAAAUUAUAUUUUUGAUGAGUUGAAGAAGGGAGAAGAGGAGAGAGAAGAGAAGCGGGCACUGAUUAACAGUCGGCCGUAGCACGCGCUCCUAGACAUUUCGUGAGAGACAAAGAUGUGUCAUGUAUCACCAAAGUAGUAAAUAUUUAUAUGUAACAAUUGUACUUGCUGGCUAUAAGAUAGGAUAUAGAUGAUGUGACAAGAUCAUAUAGCCAACAGCCGGCUAUACUAUUAACCAUGCUCUAACUCUAUACUCCAUGGUCCGGACAUCAGGAAUCAUUUUUUAUUUACAGGCACUGAGUGUGUGUUUUUUAAGACAAUGAGAGUUUCUAAUUGUUCCUGGUUUCAAAAAUAUAUACAUAUUUUAAAUAUGUUCACACUUUUAGGAAAUGCCGAAAAUUACCAAAAAAUUGUUCCAAUUAAAAAAUAUUUAUAAUUGUUCACAAAAUAAAUAAAUAAAUUCCAAAAAAUCAUGUGUUCAUAAAAUGUUCGGCCUCAAAACAUGUUCCAAUUCUAAUUAAAAAAAAGUUAAAAAUGUUGAAUUUCUUAAAAAAUAAACAAAUAUUUGUGUUUUUUUCAAAAAGUAAAACAUAUAACCGAUUCACAUACUAUUUCAUGCACCACUACUCUUUCACUAGACGAAGCAAGUUAGGCUGGUUCUUCACGUCCACACUUCAUGCUCCAAACAACCUUACUACCAAAAUUUAUAGAAUUGGUUAUAAGAAAUAAAUGGCACAAGGUGGCACAUGAAGUAGGUUUUGUAAUUUUUUCGACCGUUGCAACGCAUGGGCAUUUGUACUAGUUUAUUUCAUAAAAAAUCCUUGUGAAGUUUAAGUUUAUUUGGAGUUGUGCAAAAUAGGUAGUCUGACGUAGUUUUUCAGGUCUAGAUUUUCAGCUGCCGGAAUUCUCCCUCUUUUUAUGUACCUUACAUAUUAUGAGAGAAAAGGCAUUAGAAUUACUCCAAAAAAUAUUAUUAUGCAUAAAAACAUUAUAAAUAAUAGUAGGUAAACAUGAUACAAAAUGGACGUAUCAGUGCUCGACCCCAUCGUGGAUGGAUUUCACCUCACUAGAGUCCUCAUGGUCGGAGGCAGCAGCCUCAACCUGAUUUAUUCAGAUACAGUGAGGAAAAUGGGGAUCGACAUGUCAAGGAUCAAAUCCAGCAACACCACCUUAAAGGUGUAAUUCCAGGCGCCAAGGCAUGUUUCUCGGGAUCCAUGACGUUGGAGGUAGUCUUCGAGUCGCCCGACAACAUCCGCAGCGAAGACUUAAUCUUCGACAUUGUUCCCUUCCGCAUAAGUUACCACGCACUCCUCAGCCAGACAUCGUUCGUCCUCUUUAACGCCGUCCUCUUUAAGAUGCCAGGAGCGAAAGAUGUUAUUACCGUUAAUGAUAACACCGAGCGCUCGCUCCGAACAGAGAAACACACAUCGGCUUUAGCCGCCGAAGAAGCGUCGUAGGCCCAGUCUACAAGCAAGGCAGUGGAUGCACGCAAACGCGCCCGAGCUAUGGCCUCGGUCCUGGAGCACUCCCGUGCUCACCCCUAAAUAAGGAUACGAGCCCCACAGCAAGACCCACCUAGCCGCGAAAUACGUGCCUUGAGUGCACAACUUUGCGCUCAAGAUUCCAUGGGCAGCUCUAGGGAAAAACAACUCAGGCUGGUCAUAGUGGGGAGUAACUUAGACUAGUAACAUACAUAUGUUACUAGUCUAUGUUACUACCUUCAUAGUGGGUAGUGUCAUAGGUGUGGUAACAUAGUUGCCUUCAUUUAUUACUUUGUAGACUCAUUAUGCAUUGGAAACCGCUAUGUGAUGGUAACAUAUUAUGUUACUUUAUUUGCCUCUCUCCUCAUUAACUACUUGCCACAUCAUCAUUUUUGCUUAUGUGGCAUCUAUGUUACUACCUAUAUUACUCCCACUAUGACCAGCCUCAAGGGCCGAGAGCUCGGUUCGACCAGGCCACGGCCGAAGAUGUCCUCGGGAAACUACAAAACUACAGACACCAUCUAGUGCCUGAACAGCGUUAAGAUGAUACACCACAUCGACUUCUCAAAGCCCUCCCCAAGGACUCGUCCGCCGAACAUUACCAUUUCCGCCGAGCAUAUAGUCGACAGCUACACUCACACGGAAGCCUUGUACAAAGUAGAGGUGCAGACGUGCGGCAGGGCACAGUAGGGACGUCAAACCACUCAUGAAGGCCCUGUGUAAACCUUUCCUCUAAUGUAUUUAUUUCUUAAAGUAUCUGUAAAAGUUACUUCGGCAGCUUGGACCAUAUAGAUAGACGUCAUGAAUUUAAAGGAAAUAAUGACCAUUUUUUCCGGUCAUACUGCAGUUAAUUAUGUUGCACCUUCCUUUCUGCUUUACGGCCGAAGUAAACUAUUAUGAUAUGUUUCCCUUUUAGAUGUGAUCGGCUAAUAAACCCGGGGCUAGAACUUCAAUCCAACCCCAAACAUGAUUCUGGCACUAAUUUUAUUACAUGUGCUCGGCGUCACGGAUAUUGCAUUAUAUAAAUCAGUUUCGAAUUAUGUCUUUGGUUAAUGGUUAGGUUGCCCGGCUUCUGUGUUUGCCUUCCUACGUUCCGCUUUGUUCGGCUAGGGGGGGAGGGGGGGGGGGGUAAAGGGAGAACCACUAUGAUUGUACUUCUAGCUGGCCUGGUUACGUAUCUCAGUGGAGAAAGCCGAAAACCGACCAUCACAAUAAGCGAGAACUGGUCGGCGAUCCGAUGAGAAGUGCCAAACUAAAAUCGAUGGAGGUUCAUCCGUGUUAAACUAAGGUUUUGUUGUCACGGCAACUGUGAUGCCCCGGUUCAAUCAUGCACUAAUAAUACAUGCAAAUGCACACGAUCAAGCCCAAUGACUCACUUGAAGAUAUCACAACACAACUCUAAACACAAAUAAAAGUCAUACAAGCUUUAUAUUACAAGCCAGGGCCUUGAGGCCUCGAAUACAUAAGCUUGAUUCAAACAAGCAUCAACAGAAGCAUUAGAUAUCUGAGUACAGACAUAAGUUAAACAGAUAGGCCUUUAAGAAGGCGGGGCAAAACAAAAGCACUAGAUCGAAAGGCGCAGGCCUCCUGCCUGGGUGCCUCCAAAACUACUCCUAGUCGUCGGAGGGCUCCUCGUAGUAGUACUCCCGAGUGGGGUAGUAGUAGUAGCCGUAAUCGUCAGCUGGCUCCGGAGCUCCGUCGUCUGGUCACAACAUUCGGGUAUGGGGAAAAAGGGAAGCAAAGAAACCAUGAGUACUCAUCCAAAGUACUCAACAAGACUUAGAUCAGAUCUAUUCUAUGUAUGCAACAUUAUCAAAGGAAGGUAGUACAUAUGGGCUGGACUGUAGAAGUGCCAGAAUAGAGAGAAGACCUAGUCCUAUCGAAGACUAGCAUCUUCAACGGUCUUGCAGCAUUAGAAGAGUGCAAAUUAGUAUAUUAUACUAGCACAUAUGCCCGUGCGUUGCAACGGGAUAAAUAAGUAAAUACAUGCUUAAAAAUACAAAAUAGUUUAGCACCCAAAUAAAUUUGCAAAAUAGCAAAAAAUAAUUAAAAGUACCAGGUGUCGUUCUUGGAUAAAUAUAUACAUUCUCAGAUAGGACCUCACCUGUGUUAUUUGUCACUCAACUAAAUCAAAUCUAGUUACUGCUUUCACUAAAAAAAUCCUAGUUACUGCUGGGACACAACCUUUGUAUUUGAUAGUUUUCUACUUCAUUAUUCCACAAAGUCCGUACACAAUACAUGUUUGAUGAGACACCAACAUCCUCAUAUAUCUCUCUUGUUUGGCCUCCUUUGAUUUGGAAGAAUUUCAUAAAAAUUCUAGAGGAUAGGAUUCUUAUAGGAUUUUUUUUCAUUAAAGCCCUUUGGUUCAUAGAAAGAUGUAUGUUGCAUCUUUGUGCACAAGAUGAACGGCGUCGACAUUAAAGAUGGCUACAUGGUUAGUGAACAUAUACCCGUUUCCGUGACAUCUACGUUUGUUGUUUCGUAUUCCAUUAUCGGCUUAUUGAUGGUCGCUCACAACGUGUUGCUGAUGUUUGCAUUUGAGAAGAGGGUCCCGAAGAAAGCCGUUGAUCUUAUUGAGAGCAAUGCUGGCGUCUUGGACGAUUCAGGGAUCAUUCUUCUGCAUGACGAUGGAGGAGCCCGUGUAACGGCAUCGUUCAAGAAAUCAAAAGAUGUCAGGCUCGUCAUUCAAGGAGGCUUUUGGAAGUAUGUCAUACACCUCGAAAUGAAGGAAAAUAAUCUUGUGGUUAUCACGUUCCACAAACGUGCAGGGAUUGCGUCCAUGGCCGUCCGGGUGUGCAUCCUGUCUUAAGACACAUAUGCCGUGUCUAGUGUAUGGUUGGGGCAUAGAAUAUGAAUUGUUCUGUGCUAUAUUGCGCGGUCGCAUAUGUGGGCGUCGCUUGCUACUUUGUCAACCUCGUGAAUCCUUUGUGAACCUCGUGAAUCCGGAACUGGUAUACCCUUACGUGUGGUAUGUGGCUAUGCGAUGUUUGCAUCUAUGCAUCCCCGUUAACUAUAUCACGUAUUGGUUUGCAUGUUUUACUAAUGGCGAUCUGCACCGCUCUGGUUUGCUGUAAGACCCAUGGUUACAUGAUUUUUUUGGGCUACUGCUUGCUCCAUAACAUGAAUGGAGAUUGUGGAUCCAGCAUACACCCGGAUAUUCGUCUUACAUAAUCAUGAAACAUGUGAUUGUCUCGCAAAAAAAAAAAUGAAACAUGUGAUUGGUUAAAUACUGAUAUAUUGCACGACCGCCACCCACCUGCCUUUCAUCCGGAUCAACACAUAUGCAUCAUGUGCCUGCCACAUGUACUUGCAGAUCAUGUGCUUGGCACGUACAGUUUCGAAGUUGAGACCCCUCCGUGCUUGGGCUUCUUGUACCACGUACAUGGCACCCGGAUGACCUGUGCUUAUACUGCACAGGCACAUGGUUGCAAGGCGCACCCAACAUGUGCCGGGUACAAAGUCCAAUUAGAGACUGCUACAAAUGUGCCAUACGCAUUAUUCAAUCUGAGUGUUGCCCAAACUCACGGUAAGCGGCGUGUGGGUCCAGCCGACACUUCUUAUAUGCCAGGUACAUGUUCCAUCCUGAUGCUUUUCAUGUCUCCGACUUGACUUAUUUAUAGAAUCAUAUUUGUUGGCCUAUGUCAUCUAAAUAACUUUCGCAACCCGACAUCAACGAAUAUUUAAAAUAGGCUCCCGUUCGGCCCCCGCGUCGCCUACCCUAGGCGACACGGGGGCAGCCCCCAACUGCGCCCCCCCCCCCUUCUCUAGCUAAACCCCUCGCCGCCGUCGGAUGCCACCAUCAGGCGAAGCCCGCGUCGUGGCGGCGGCGGCGGGGCCUUCCCCCCGUGGCGCGGCUCUCCUCUCCUCCUGCGGGGCCCGCUGCUGGCGGCCCGCAUGCGGGUGGCUCGUCGGCGCCCUUCCCGGCGGCCUGGCGGCCGGCGACGCUCCUCCUGGUGGCGGAUCCGGUGAUCCCUCCUGCUCGCGCCUCCUGGUUGGCUGUCCUUCAUGAAGGCAUUGUCUUGUUGCUCGUGGUGUGUUCGGUGUUGGAUUUGAAGACUUCGGACGCUUUGCUGGUCCGGGCUGCUCCUCUUGGCGUGGGCAUCCGGGGCGCUAUGUACGGCCUCGACGACGCUCUUUUCGUGGCUUCUCCUCCUAGUUCGGCCAGAUCCUACACCCCACUUGCCGAUCCUCUAGGCACUUAGGUGGGAGGUACGUUGAUUUGGUUCGUUCUGGUGGUGUGGCCGUGCGGUGAUGGUGCCCGGCGUUGGUCGCGACCCGGCCCAGAUACCUUUGUAUCUCGUCUCUUUGCCGCAGGCUGGAGUUCGAGCUAGGAGAGUCUAUGCUGUGUUGUAUCCCUUCUUGUGUCUUUCCCACACCUUGUGUGGUGUUUCUCUCUUUUCCUCUUGUAUGUCUAUGUAAUUUCUCUUCUACCUAUCAAUGAAUGAUACGCAAGCUUUGCGUAUUCGCGAAAAUAGAAUAUUUAAAACAAUGAAAAACUACACAACCGGUCGCUCAUAACUUUACAUCCAUACCGAGCAACUUAUAGAUCGGUCAUGCCCGAAUACCGUGGUUUGUACUUGACAUUCAAAUUCAUUCCAUGUUGUGCUGACAAUAAUAUAUAGGUCCACAUAGAUAAUCUAGAUCAUUAUGGUACAAACACUUUGCUCCAACAGAAACAGUCUCAGGCAAAGAAUGCCCCCAAGAUACAUCAGUUUGUUACACCCUCAUAUUCGCUUGAAACUGUAUCCUUUAUCAUUCGUCGAUAGACUCGAUGAACUGAUGUGGCCUCCUUGUAUUGUUCCCCUUGAGAUGUAAUAUGUCGUGAAGGUAAUAUGGCGCCAGAGAACUGUCGUCCUCCUGGACAUGAUUGUGAAUUCAUUGCCAAGCAAUUCACAGAUAGUAGGAGAUGGAGAUGCAGAAAAUUAGAACUACUAACGUUCCAUCAUAUUUAUCAUGUCUGAAAAUGACUAGAACAACAUACUCACCAGGUGAAUAUUAUGAAUCGCUUGGUCGCCAAUGAAAUCCCUGCAGAAGUUCAUGGUGGACUGUUAUACCCGUCGCCCCUGUCUGAUUCGUCCUCUUCAACAAUUAUUGGCAGCUUAUUGAGCUUGCUGCAGUUCUGCACAAACAAAUGCCUUGUUAAAUGUACAACUCAACAAGGCUAAACAAAAAUCGUUGGUUUCUAAACUACGGUUAUCUUCCAAACAUACACAAUGGCGCAUCCCAUACACCAAAAAAAAGCUAACUAUCAACCUUGCUUCAUGUACGAUAGCAACUUAUCAGCUAGAUCUGUCCAUAUCCCAUCCACCUUACAUGUAUUGACAAAGACAUCAGACAUAAUGAGCAAUACAUUUGGGUCCCCAGGACCCAUCCCAUAAAGAACAGAUAGAUAAACAGGAUUGAAACUGCAUGCCAUCUUACCUGCAUACUGACGACUUAUAUUUUGCAACCUGCAAGAUACUGCUGCCCCAACCCCGUUCCUGAUCUGGCCUGCAUGCCAAAGAGAACCGUGAAUAAUCACCCUCCUGAUAUAAGCCCAAUGCCAAAAUACAUCCUGAAGUCCAAAAUACCGAUGCGCAUAUCUUAAAUCGAAUAUUUACCUGUGAUAGAUCCGUACAAGGUCCCUCGCCGCGAGAUGACAGGGGCGCCUGUGCCCGGCGCAGGAGUUCCCCGGCGGCUCGGCUCUGGCUUCCCCGGCGGCCCGCCCGUCCCGGCGCCUCCUUUUGUACCAGAAACUCCUGCCUCCCGGCGAGAUGACAGGGGCGCCUGUGCCCGGCGCAGGAGCUCCCCGGCGGCCCGGCUCUGGCUUCCCCCGGCGGCCGGUCCGUCC